UACGGGGGGGGCAAGCGUUGUUCGGAAUUACUGGGCGUAAAGGGCUCGUAGGCGGCCAACUAAGUCAGACGUGAAAUCCCUCGGCUUAACCGGGGAACUGCAUCUGAUACUGGAUGGCUUGAGUUCGGGAGAGGGAUGCGGAAUUCCAGGUGUAGCGGUGAAAUGCGUAGAUAUCUGGAGGAACACCGGUGGCGAAGGCGGCAUCCUGGACCGACACUGACGCUAAGGAGCGAAAGCCAGGGGAGCAAACGGG
This 253-nucleotide ribosomal RNA is filed under the name uncultured bacterium. Its description in RNAcentral is "partial 16S ribosomal RNA". It matches the Rfam family "Bacterial small subunit ribosomal RNA", at positions 524 to 776 of the family's 1533-position model. The record is from RNAcentral.